CUUCUUUGUAGGAAUGAGAAAUGGGAAAGAAUUGCAUUCUGAUAAAUAGAUUAAUGGUUAAACAAAUCAUGGCACAUUCAAACCAAGGAAUUUUGUAGCCAUUUGAAGCUUGUAGUGAGCAGUAAAAUUGCCAACAUACGGUGAGUGAAAUGAAGUCACAGAACAGUAUUACUAGUGUCUAUCAGUUAUGUAAAGCUAACCAAAAACCGUGCAUUUACAUGUGUGUGUUUGCUAAUGCAUUUUGAUCAGGAUCUGGAGCACUGUAUCAAAGCAUCAUAAGUAGACUCCCUUUUCACUUUUUGUUCUCCAAUGGCUCAGAAUUGUGAACUCUUUACGGGCAUGUAUUUUACAGUUUUAAAACAAUUGUUUUUUGUUUUUUUUUUUUGGUGGGGUUUGGGGAGCAGGGUCUCACUCUGUUGCCCAGGCUGGAGUGCAGUGGCAUAAUUUCUGCUCACUGCAACCUCCGCCUCCCAGGUUCAAGUGAUUCUCCUGCCUCAGCCUCCCGAGUAGCUGGGAUUACAGGUGUGUAUCACCAUGCCCAGCUAAUUUUUGUAUUUUUGAUAGACAUGGGGUUUCACCAUGUUGGCCAGGCUGGUCUCAAACUCUUGACCUCAAGUGAUCCACCUACCUCGACCUCCCAGUGUUGAGAUUACAGGCAUGAGCCAAAACAAUUUUUAAAUACUGGGGCAAGAUCACAAUAGAAAGGAAGAGUUUGAAGACGUGAGUGACAUGGGAUAAAGGAGGAGGAAGUUCCCUGAGGAUUAGAUGAUGGUGACAGCAGUAGCAGCAGGAGCAGGUAACAUUCAUUUAGAGUUGAGAUGUGCCACACCCUGCUCUAAAUGCUUUAUGGAUAUCAAGUCCCCUUAUUCUCACUAGAAGUCUGGUAGACAUGAUUAGUCAAGGACACGGAGGCACAGAGAGGUGGAGCAACUCCACAGCUAGCAAAGCUGGGAUUCAAAGCCAGGCAGUCUGGAUGCAGGGCCAGUGCUCCAGCCACUGCCCCCUACUGCUGGCUGUUGGUGGGAUCCAGAGCAUAGGUGAUGGACUGGCCUGAGAGGAGGAGGGAAAGCUCAUUAAACCUCUGGAUCAGUUUGUUGCUGCAUUAACACUUUCUCACAAAUGUAAAAGCUCAAAACCACCACCACUGAUUACCUCACAGUGGUGUAGGUCAGAAGCCUGAGCAGGCUCAACUGGGUUCUCGACCUUGCAUCUCACAAACCCCAACCGAAGAUGUCAGCAGAGGUGGGCUUCCAUCUGGAGGCUCUGGGUAAGAAUAUGCAUCCAGAACCAUUGAGGGUGGCAGAAUGCGGAUCUUUUCAGCUGUAGGACUGAGAGCUCCAUUUCCUUGCUGGCUGUUAGUCAGGAACCUUUGAUGAGAGUUUGCUGCAUCCCUCACCAUGUGGCCCCUUCAACUCUAAAACCAGUAAUGAUGCGUGGAAUCUUUCACAGGCUUGGACUCUCUGACCUCCUCUUUGGUUAACAGCCAGGGACAAAUCGAGUUCCAGAGGGUUCUCAUGAUUUGGUUAGGAACACCCAGGUGGUCUCCCUUUCCUUGUACUGGUAACACAAUCUAGUCACAGGAGUAAAGUGCAUCCUAUUAACAGUCUGAAGAUUAGUGGGAGAAAUCAUGAUGCCAUUUUAGCCUGGGUAAUUUAUAAAGAAAAGACACCUGCCUGGCUCAAGGUUCUGCAGACAGUACGAGAAGUGUGGUGCUGGAAUAUCUUUCCGGUGAGGCCUCAAGAAGUUUACAGUCACGGUGGAAGGCAAUGAGGAGCCAGCAUAUCACAUGGUGACAGCAACAGCCAGAGCAAAAGAGGGAGGGAGAGGUGCCACUCACACUUAAACAACCAGAUCUGGUGUGAACUGACUCAUCACCAAGGGGAUGGCACUAACCCAUUCAUGAGGGAUCUGCCCCCAUCAUCCAGACACCUCCCACCAGGCCUCAUCUCCAACACUGGGGAUUACAUUUCAUCAUGAGAUUUGGAGCGGACAAACAUCCAAACCAUAUCAGUAGGAUGUCUGACAUUCAUCAUACGAUGUCUGAGUGAAGGGAGGUUUAAGGGCUUAUUUUGUCUCCCUGGAUAGUAAUGGAAAAUGUAUAUCUGAAAGAGAUGUCUGAAAAAGAAAGUUUAAGUGGGUGGCUAGCACACUUCUGGUUUGCUAGUGGGCUUUUUGAGCUCAGUUCUCAUUUGAGUUUGGAGAUGGAUUUGUAGGGGCUCUGGGAUUUUUCCCCUGUAGUCUGUCUAUAGGAGCAAAGCGGAAGAUUUUGAUUGAAAUCAUGUCAGGUAAAUAUAAA
RNAcentral lists this long non-coding RNA (2296 nucleotides) under Homo sapiens (human). RNAcentral's name for it is "HSALNT0120912". Lineage: Eukaryota; Metazoa; Chordata; Mammalia; Primates; Hominidae. The record is from RNAcentral.